GCGCCCGUGGCACAAUUGGAUAGCGCGUCGGCCUCCGAAGCCGAAGGUUACAGGUUCGAAUCCUGUCGGGCGUAC
This 75-nucleotide transfer RNA is filed under the name Allorhodopirellula solitaria. RNAcentral's name for it is "Planctomycetes bacterium CA85 tRNA-Arg". It matches the Rfam family "tRNA". Rfam says of the family: Transfer RNA (tRNA) molecules are approximately 80 nucleotides in length. Their secondary structure includes four short double-helical elements and three loops (D, anti-codon, and T loops). Lineage: Bacteria; Pseudomonadati; Planctomycetota; Planctomycetia; Pirellulales; Pirellulaceae. The record is from RNAcentral.